RNAcentral lists this ribosomal RNA (740 nucleotides) under Planctomycete enrichment culture clone E10. RNAcentral describes it as "bacterial SSU rRNA". It matches the Rfam family "Bacterial small subunit ribosomal RNA", at positions 1 to 748 of the family's 1533-position model. The record is from RNAcentral. Lineage: Bacteria; Pseudomonadati; Planctomycetota; Planctomycetia; Planctomycetales.
UUGAGUUUGAUCCUGGCUCAGAAUGAACGUUGGCGGCGUGGAUUAGGCAUGCGAGUCGUACGAGAACCCGCAAGGGGGAAAGUGGCGAACGGGGUAGUAAUGCGUAGGUGACGUGCCCUGCGGUCGGGGAUAGCUUAGGGAAACUUAAGGUAAUACCCGAUGACACCAUGCGGUUUGAAUACCAUAUGGUCAAAGGUGUGAUUCCACCACAGGAGCGGCUUGCGUGGUAUUAGCUAGUUGGUGAGGUAACGGCUCACCAAGGCAACGAUGCCUAGGGGAUGUUAGCGCAUGAUCCCCACCACUGGGACUGAGAUACUGCCCAGACACCUACGGGUGGCUGCAGUCGAGAAUCUUCGGCAAUGGGGGAAACCCUGACCGAGCGACGCCGCGUGUGGGAUGAAGGCCCUUGGGUUGUAAACCACUGUCAGAGGGGAUGAAGUGCUAGAGAGCUAUCUCUCUAGUUUGACAUAGCCUCAGAGGAAGCACGGGCUAAGUUCGUGCCAGCAGCCGCGGUAAGACGAACUGUGCAAACGUAUUCGGAAUCACUGGGCUUGAAGAGUGCGUAGGCGGUUUCGUAAGUAGGGUGUGAAAGCCCUCGGCUCAACCGGGGAAUUGCGUCCUAAACUGCGAGGCUGGAGUGAGGUAGGGGUGUGUGGAACUUCCAGUGGAGCGGUGAAAUGUGUUGAUAUUGGAAGGAACGCCGGUGGCGAAAGCGACACACUGGACCUUGUCUGACGCUG